GUCCCGCCUGGGGAGACUGCGCCCGGGAUAAUAGGAGCGCUUGGCCUCUGAGACUACCCGGCAGAAGGGACGUCCCCAAAUGACACUCGGAGGCCGCCUCCCUGGGCUCCGGUGCUCGGUGCCGGGAGGAGCGGCACGGCUUUCUACCCCGCCUCAGGUGCGCCAGCACGUUUUCUGGGCAGCAUCUGUGUGUUAGGCGACCGGAGAGGUGGGUUCCUUAUAGGGAAUAAGAAAACUGAAACUGACUUCCAACUGCAGGCAGAAGGAAGCAGUGGUCAUUGCUGGAGGUUAAAACUGUUCUGACCGGGCGCAGUGGCUCACGCCUGUAUUCCCAGCACUUUGGGAGGCUGAGGCGAGCAGAUCACGAAGUCAGGAGAUCAAGACCAUCCUGGCCAACAAGGUGAAACCCCGGCUCUACUAAAAAUACAAAAAUUAGCUGGGCGUGGUGGCGCGCGCCGGAAGUCCCAGCUACUUGGGAGGAUGAGGCAGAAGAAUCGCUUGAACCCGGGAGGCGGAGGUUGCGGUGAGCCGAGAUCGCGCCAUUGCACUCCAGCCUGGCGACUCAGCGAUACUCCGUCCCCCUCUCCCCGCCCCAAGAAAAAUCUGUUCAGUGGGGAGCGACAAGGAAGGAGCUUUCAGCCCGACUGGGGUCGCAGGGAAGAAUUCAAGAUGGCGUGUUUAGGAGCUCUAGCUCCUUGACAAAUUAGUAAAAUGUUAGUCUUAGGAGAAGAACGAAAAGGCUCUCCUAGGCUAAGAAACAGCAUACACAGUGAGAAACCUCAGAAGAAAUAAAAUUCAAGGAAGAUAGCAACAACGAAAACAUCAGAAGGAACACUAAAGUAGUCAAAUCAGCCUAGCAGAAACAAAGUACGUUAACCAAUGGAAAACUGACGGAGAGAAAUAAACUGUUUUUGCACAGCUAAAUGGAAAUGACUUUUGAAUUAUCUGCUUUGGAAGAUUAUCCAUGACACUGUUCUGCCCUGCUCUGCUCUAACAACAUUUGCUGGUGCCUCUGCCGAGAUCACCCUUUUAUUCCUUAUUUGGUAGACUCCUACUCAUCCUUCAAGACUCAGCUUUAAGAAAACUUUAUCUUCUUUAAGAAAACUUCCCUGGAACCUGAUAUUUCAUGUCCUGAUGGGUUCAACAUCUUUCCUCCGAGCUGCAACGUAUAGAUCUCUAGCAUUUGUCCCCAUGUAACUCUCUAUUUUUAUUAAUUAUAUUUAUAAUAAAAUUUUUCUUCAUUUUUAUCCCCUUAACUAGACUAUAAAGUUACUGAUUUUUCUUUUUUGUCUUUGCAUAUUCAAUGCUUAGUAUGGUAGCAAACUUGUUCAAUAAGUAUUGUUUAAAUAAAUGAAGAGAAG
Molecule: long non-coding RNA, 1361 nt
Filed under: Homo sapiens (human)
Lineage: Eukaryota; Metazoa; Chordata; Mammalia; Primates; Hominidae
Description: PREDICTED lncRNA (TCONS_00007184)
Source: RNAcentral